AACCCCUUACCUUUAGUUGCCAUCAGGUUAAGCGUGGGGACUACUAAAGGAACUGCCUACGCAAGUAGUGAGGAAGGCGGGGAUGACGUCAAAUCAGCACGGCCCUUACGUCCAGGGCUACACACGUGCUACAAUGGCCGAUACAGAGGGCAGCUACCUGGUGACAGGAUGACAAAUCUCCAAAGUCGGUCUCAGUUCGGAUCGGAGUCUGCAACCCGACUCCGUGAAGUUGGAUUCGCUAGUAAUCGCGCAUCAGCCAUGGCGCGGUGAAUACGUUCCCGGGCCUU
Molecule: ribosomal RNA, 287 nt
Filed under: uncultured Sphingobacteriales bacterium
Lineage: Bacteria; Pseudomonadati; Bacteroidota; Sphingobacteriia; Sphingobacteriales
Description: partial 16S ribosomal RNA
Rfam family: Bacterial small subunit ribosomal RNA
Source: RNAcentral